Non-coding RNA from Lolium perenne, 364 nucleotides. The record is from RefSeq and is a predicted model, not a curated record. NCBI's taxonomy places the organism in Eukaryota, Viridiplantae, Streptophyta, Magnoliopsida, Poales, Poaceae.
UGAGCAAACUCAACUGUGGGUGAAAUAACUCUUCAGUACCUUCAUUUUGGCGUUGGUUUCACUUCGAUUGACCUCCUGAAACAGAAAUGGUUUACAGAUCAACAUCUGGUCAGAUCUGACUUUGUCGAAUUAAACCAGGAGCUUGGAGACGAAUUUUUGAAUGAAACCAAUUGGGGGAUGUUUGGUUUAUACCAUGGUGAUAACCGAGAGAGGCAAUUGCUAAGUUGUGAUACUCUCAUACCUUUACUAGAUGCGAACAAUUCCGGAGAAGAAGAAGAAGUGGAAUCGGACGAGGAUUUUAUUUAUGUUGUUGGGAUUCUUAUAUUGAUGGAGUAGAAAAAGUACAGGGACAAAUAAGCCAAGG